This 731-nucleotide ribosomal RNA is filed under the name Microbacterium sp. RNAcentral describes it as "bacterial SSU rRNA". It matches the Rfam family "Bacterial small subunit ribosomal RNA", at positions 250 to 991 of the family's 1533-position model. Lineage: Bacteria; Bacillati; Actinomycetota; Actinomycetes; Micrococcales; Microbacteriaceae. The record is from RNAcentral.
UGUAUCGGUAAUGGCUCACCAAGGCGUCGACGGGUAGCCGGCCUGAGAGGGUGACCGGCCACACUGGGACUGAGACACGGCCCAGACUCCUACGGGAGGCAGCAGUGGGGAAUAUUGCACAAUGGGCGGAAGCCUGAUGCAGCAACGCCGCGUGAGGGAUGACGGCCUUCGGGUUGUAAACCUCUUUUAGCAGGGAAGAAGCGAGAGUGACGGUACCUGCAGAAAAAGCACCGGCUAACUACGUGCAAGCAGCCGCGGUAAUACGUAGGGUGCAAGCGUUAUCCGGAAUUAUUGGGCGUAAAGAGCUCGUAGGCGGUUUGUCGCGUCUGCUGUGAAAUCCCGAGGCUCAACCUCGGGCCUGCAGUGGGUACGGGCAGACUAGAGUGCGGUAGGGGAGAUUGGAAUUCCUGGUGUAGCGGUGGAAUGCGCAGAUAUCAGGAGGAACACCGAUGGCGAAGGCAGAUCUCUGGGCCGUAACUGACGCUGAGGAGCGAAAGGGUGGGGAGCAAACAGGCUUAGAUACCCUGGUAGUCCACCCCGUAAACGUUGGGAACUAGUUGUGGGGUCCUUUCACGGAAUUCCGUGACGCAGCUAACGCAUUAAGUUCCCCGCCUGGGGAGUACGGCCGCAAGGCUAGAACUCAAAGGAAUUGACGGGGACCCGCACAAGCGGCGGAGCAUGCGGAUUAAUUCGAUGCAACGCGAAGAACCUUACCAAGGCUUGACAUACAC